RNAcentral lists this ribosomal RNA (254 nucleotides) under uncultured bacterium. RNAcentral's name for it is "partial 16S ribosomal RNA". It matches the Rfam family "Bacterial small subunit ribosomal RNA", at positions 524 to 776 of the family's 1533-position model. The record is from RNAcentral.
UACGAAGGGGGCUAGCGUUGUUCGGAUUUACUGGGCGUAAAGCGCACGUAGGCGGAUCUUUAAGUCAGAGGUGAAAUCCCAAGGCUCAACCUUGGAACUGCCUUUGAUACUGGGGAUCUUGAGUCCGGGAGAGGUGAGUGGAACUGCGAGUGUAGGAGGUGAAAUUCGUAGAUAUUCGCAAGAACACCAGUGGCGAAGGCGGCUCACUGGCCCGGUACUGACGCUGAGGUGCGAAAGCGUGGGGAGCAAACAGG